Candoia aspera is the source of this 1537-nucleotide long non-coding RNA. RefSeq lists it as uncharacterized. The record is from RefSeq and is a predicted model, not a curated record. The transcript has 3 exons. NCBI's taxonomy places the organism in Eukaryota, Metazoa, Chordata, Lepidosauria, Squamata, Candoiidae.
GAAUUCCAGCCAGAUACCUGGUCUAUAUUGAAUUAUAUACCUUAGAUUGGGAAUAAGGGUGAAACAUGGGAUUCUGCUUGUAUAACAACCACCUCAUUAAGUGAUUGACUGAUUUAUUUAUAUGCUGCCUCAAUCAUCCAAGUAAGUCUAGGUGGCUUGUAGAAUCCUAGGUGCUAGGAGACUUCCACAUCAACUUCAGACCUGCACUGUCUGGUAUGACUCAGGAGUUCACAGCAGCUGGGACAUUUAUGACAUUGGACCUUGGAGCCAGUGCAUAUUGCUGGUCACACUUGAUUUGGUGUUUUAUUCUGGCUGGAAUAGUGUUUCAUGGGUGAAUUCCCAUGUGAUGCCCCAUUGUCAUGGAUGGUCCACUACCUGGAUAAGGUUGGACUUACAGUCACUGUCCAUCUGUGUAGGGGUGGAGGACAGAUUCAGCUUGCUUUUCCAAAGAGGCUCUUGGAUCCAGUGGUUUUUCAAGGAUCCACACAGUGUUUAAGCAUAGAUUCUGCAGGCAAUUCUGACAUGCUCUGAUUGAGUCCUGGAACUGGGAAUUCACUGGAGUGGUAGACACAAUUGCACGAGUACAAUCUCCCCUUUUGAAGUCGUCCUCAUAGUAUGUCUGCCCAUGGAAGAGCUCUGUGGAAAGAGGAGGAAGGAAGAUGGCUAGAGCACUGAUGACAGACAACUCACGAUAACAUUGGUAAAGCACAGUACAGAACUCAUUUGAGAGUCUGUGCUGUGGCACUUUAUACAGAAGGAAGUGAUACUUCGCUGCGUGUGCCAUAUCUAAAGACUCUUGUCUAAUUUAGUUGUUUAAAGUUGUGGGACAAUUAGCACCUGUUCCUCAGUUUCUGAAUUUGGAAUUAGAACUUUCCAUAGCUUUCUGUGAUACAUUGGGUGUCGGUUAUUUUCCAGGUGCACUACAAAGUGUUACAUGUUAUUUUGAAAGCCUUACAUCGAGUGGUCCUAGGUCACUUGAGAGAAUGCUCCCUCCUAUAUGAUUCCCAGUGUCCAUUAAGAUCAUCUGUACCUCCCACUACCCACUAAGGUCAUACAUAGAAUUUUAUAAUUCUUAAAUGUCUUAAAUGUUCUGAAUAUUUUAAAUUGUUACUGGAUUUUUGUAUACCCAGGAACUUUGGUGAUAGGUGGUUUAAAAAACAAAGACAUAUAGAUAGUAUAUUUGAAAAUUUCCUUACUGACAUGGGCAGUGAUGCUCUUGGUUUAAGAUUAGGCCAGGGUCACAGUUUGGUUUCUGCUCCACCUAGUCAGUCAGGGAAAGUGUGUGGCAAAUGAUGUCACGUUAUCAGAUUUGUCAGGGUCAGACUUUAGGCUGUUCUGCAUGUUGAGGUUGUUGAAGGUACGGAGCAAAACAAGUACCUUAAGAGUGGGAAACCCCCAAUCCUCUGGAAAUAAAAAAUAUUUCAGCCUUGUCAGAGCACAAAGAUUGCCUAUCAUUGAAUUAUGUCAUUGUUCCAUAUCCAUAGGGUAAUAAACAUCAACCCCAUUUAACUUUUCAGUCAGUGCUUCUCUACCCUCA